Molecule: RNA transcript, 5083 nt
Organism: Cercocebus atys (sooty mangabey)
Lineage: Eukaryota; Metazoa; Chordata; Mammalia; Primates; Cercopithecidae
Gene: EPHB6
Gene name: EPH receptor B6
Exons: 18
Source: RefSeq, a predicted model, not a curated record
GGUUCUCUCCGGAGCGCGGGCGAGGGAGGAGGCACCCAGAGGUGCAGCGACUUGCCCAAGCCAUGUCAGAGCCAGGCACACAGCAGCACUUCCCCUUUUCAACCCGACUGCCCGGCCCCUUGGGGAGGGUGGAUGGAGGGAGGUUCGACUCAGAAGCCCCAACGUUGACCAAGAUUCAGACACGAAAAGAGAGAAGAGUUCCAGGCUAGCACAGCGACGCGUUCAUACCCAGACGCCCCCCUCUCCCGCUGCCUGAGCUCCCCCCACCACCGCCAGUACUCUCCCAGAUUUCUCAGUUUGUCUUUCCCUCCACCCCCUGCUUUUCCUUCCUUCUCUCUUGCUCAGCUCACGCCCACCUUAGUUCAAAGCUGAGUAGGAGCCCCACUGUUUUAGUUCCUAGAGUUAAAGCCGAAGAGGAGGGAGGCGCGAGGGGGUGUGUGCGGGGCUCUGCCCUGCCCUGAACUGUUACGGUCCGCCAGUUGCGCUUCGCUCCGCGGGUGUCCGACCAGAGCCCGAGCCUGAGCCCGGGGGCUUUACAGACAGCCUCUUCCCUUCCCACUUCCUGCAGGCGCCCCACGCGUGCGAUCCUCCUGGCCCAGACCCGCGGGAGGAGGCCGCCCCCUUCCCGGCGCACAGGCGGGGCCCCGGGCGCGCCCCGCGUCUCCCCCGCGCGCCUGGGCGGAGGAGCGGGCGCCGCGCACUCAUCGCCUAGGCCGGGAGGGCGGGCUCGGCUCCCCGGAAGAGGGGAGUGGGAAGGCGGCCAAAGGAGCUGAAGGGGCGGGCCGGGCCGGCCUGGGAGGCGACGAGGAGGGGGCGGGCCGGGCUGCGCUCGCUCCAGCCGCGGCUCUAGAGCAGCGGGCGGCGCGGGACCCGGGACCCAGCUUGGCGACGGCGAUCGCGACGCGGGCCCCCAGUGUCUCCCGGUGCCCCACCUCUGGAGUAGCCCCUGCCGCCGGCCUCAGGUCCACCCCGGAAUCCCAGGGACUCGCGGAGCCGAACAGACUCGGGCCGGGUGCAACGGGGUCCCCGGACUGGAGAAGACGCGGGUGGCACCGUGCGAGCUGGAGGAGCCCCGCUGCACUGCGAGGCCUCGGGGGGCGCAGACCUGCAGAGACUGCGGCCAACGGGAAGAAAUAAAGGGAUUAUAGUGCUCUAGUCCACCCAAUUCACAGACUUCUGAGACUCAGACACGAGGAGAGAUAGAGAACCACCAAUCUCUAGAUCAACAAGCAAAGGAGGUGCCAAGGCUGUUUGUCUUCAUUGUGACACUGGAGUCUGGAUGCUGGGAAGUCCAAGAUCAGGGUGCCAGCAUGGUCAGUUCCUGGCGAAGCCUCUCUUCUAGGUUUCAGACUGCGCUCUUCUUUGUUGUGUCCUCGAAUGGCAGAAAAAGGGGUGGCUGUUGGAGGAAGGGAGGAGAGUAAAUGAAGAGAAAGAACUGGAAUAACCCCUUACAGGAAGAAAAAAAAAAAAAAGGUAAGAUUGACCCAGAAACACCCUCUGCUCCACUUCUAGGAGGGAGAGCUGUGAGAAAUGAACACAGAGACAGGGUCGCACAGGGAGUAGGCAUGAACACUCCAAGAUGGCCAAAUUUGCACAGGCUCAGGAGAGGCAGUACGCAACCUGGCUUCUGUCCCAUGGUGGGUGCUGGGGCGAUUUGAGAGCUGUAGGAGGAGACACAACUUUUGGAGCCUGGGCUGUAUAUGAAGAAACGCUUUCCUCCCAUCUGCCUCUUCUGGUCUUGUGUGUCUCCUCAGGAACAAGCUUAGCUGUACACGCUGAGAGUCUUGCAAAAGCUGCAGCCCCACCCAGGAGCAGGGUGGUGGCUGGGGCGAUGGUGGACGCCCUGAAGAUGCCCCAUGGCUACUGAAGGGGCUGCUCAGUUAGUGAACAGAGUGGCGGGCAUGGUUUGUAGCCUAUGGGUGCUGCUCCUGGUGUCUUCAGUUCUGGCUCUGGAAGAGGUAUUGCUGGACACCACCGGAGAGACAUCUGAGAUUGGCUGGCUCACCUACCCACCAGGGGGGUGGGACGAGGUGAGUGUUCUGGACGACCAGCGACGCCUGACUCGGACCUUUGAGGCAUGUCAUGUGGCAGGGGCCCCUCCAGGCACCGGGCAGGACAAUUGGUUGCAGACACACUUUGUGGAGCGGCGCGGGGCCCAGAGGGCACACAUUCGACUCCACUUCUCUGUGCGGGCGUGCUCCAGCCUGGGCGUGAGCGGCGGCACCUGCCGGGAGACCUUCACCCUUUACUACCGCCAGGCUGAGGAGCCCGACAGCCCCGACAGCGUUUCCUCCUGGCACCUCAAACGCUGGACCAAAGUGGACACAAUUGCAGCAGACGAGAGCUUUCCCUCCUCCUCCUCUUCUUCCUCUGCAGCGUGGGCUGUGGGACCCCACGGGGCUGGGCAGCGGGCUGGACUGCAGCUGAAUGUCAAAGAGCGGAGCUUUGGGCCUCUCACCCAACGUGGCUUCUACGUGGCCUUCCAGGACACGGGGGCCUGCCUGGCCCUGGUAGCUGUCAGGCUCUUCUCCUACACCUGCCCUGCUGUGCUCCGAUCCUUUGCCUCCUUUCCAGAGACGCAAGCCAGUGGGGCUGGGGGUGCCUCCCUGGUGGCAGCUGUGGGCACCUGUGUGGCUCAUGCAGAGCCAGAGGAGGAUGGAGUAGGGGGCCAGGCAGGAGGCAGCCCCCCGAGGCUGCACUGCAACGGGGAGGGCAAGUGGAUGGUAGCUGUCGGGGGCUGCCUGUGCCAGCCUGGACACCAACCAGCACGAGGAGACAAGGCCUGCCAAGCCUGCCCACGGGGGCUCUAUAAGGCUUCUGCUGGGAAUGUUCCCUGCUCACCAUGCCCUGCCCGCAGCCACGCUCCCAAUCCAGCAGCCCCAGUUUGCCCCUGCCUGGAGGGCUUCUACCGGGCCAGUUCUGACCCACCAGACGCCCCCUGCACUGGUCCUCCAUCGGCUCCCCAGGAGCUUUGGUUUGAGGUGCAAGGCUCAGCACUCAUGCUACACUGGCGCCUGCCUCGGGAGCUGGGGGGUCGAGGGGACCUGCUCUUCAACGUCGUGUGCAAGGAGUGUGAAGGCCGCCAGGAGCCUGCCAGCGGUGGUGGGGGCACUUGUCGCCGCUGCAGGGAUGAGGUCCACUUUGACCCUCGCCAGAGAGGCCUGACUGAGAGCCGAGUGUUAGUGGGGGGGCUCCGAGCACAUGUACCCUACAUCUUAGAGGUGCAGGCUGUCAAUGGGGUGUCUGAGCUCAGCCCUGACCCUCCUCAGGCUGCAGCUAUCAAUGUCAGCACCAGCCAUGAAGUGCCCUCUGCAGUCCCUGUGGUGCACCAGGUGAGCCGGGCAUCCAACAGCAUCACAGUGUCCUGGCCGCAGCCUGACCAGACCAAUGGGAACAUCUUGGACUAUCAGCUCCGCUACUAUGACCAGGCAGAAGACGAAUCCCACUCCUUCACCCUGACCAGCGAGACCAACACUGCCACCGUGACACAGCUGAGCCCUGGCCACAUCUAUGGUUUCCAGGUGCGAGCCCGGACUGCUGCCGGCCACGGCCCCUACGGGGGCAAAGUCUAUUUCCAGACGCUUCCUCAAGGGGAGCUGUCCUCCCAGCUUCCGGAGAGACUCUCCUUGGUGAUUGGCUCCAUCCUGGGGGCCUUGGCCUUCCUCCUGCUGGCAGCCAUCACCGUGCUGGCGGUCGUCUUCCAGCGGAAACGGCGUGGGACUGGCUAUAUGGAGCAGCUGCAGCAAUACAGCAGCCCAGGACCUGGGGUGAAGUAUUACAUCGACCCCUCCACCUACGAGGACCCCUGCCAGGCCAUCCGAGAACUUGCCCGGGAGAUCGAUCCUGCCUAUAUCAAGAUUGAGGAGGUCAUUGGGACAGGCUCUUUUGGCGAAGUGCGCCGGGGCCGCCUGCAGCCACGGGGACGGAGGGAGCAGACUGUGGCCAUCCAGGCCCUGUGGGCCGGGGGCGCCGAAAGCCUGCAGAUGACCUUCCUGGGCCGGGCUGCGGUGCUGGGUCAGUUCCAGCACCCCAACAUCCUGCGGCUGGAGGGUGUGGUCACCAAGAGCCGACCCCUCAUGGUGUUGACGGAGUUCAUGGAGCUUGGCCCCCUGGACAGCUUCCUCAGGGUCAGUCCAGCCUGGGUGAAGGAGGAGGGUCCUGGGGUCCAGGAAAGCUUCCAGGAGACAAGGUCCUAUAUCUUUGCUUCUUACCACCCCACCUUCCAUGGUCUCUGUCCUUCCUUCCCAGGCCAUUUUCUGAUUCCACACCCUCCCCCUCUCAUGCUGUUGUCUGCUGUGCAGUAUGACGAGGUCUCCCUGUCUCCAGUCACUGACCUCUGCCCCCUGCCCCUGCCCCUCAGCAGCGGGAGGGCCAGUUCAGCAGCCUGCAGCUGGUGGCCAUGCAACGGGGAGUGGCUGCUGCCAUGCAGUACCUGUCCAGCUUUGCCUUCGUCCAUCGCUCGCUCUCUGCCCACAGCGUGCUGGUAAAUAGCCACUUGGUGUGCAAGGUGGCCCGUCUUGGCCACAGUCCUCAGGGCCCAAGUUGUUUGCUUCGCUGGGCAGCCCCAGAGGUCAUUGCACAUGGAAAGCAUACAGCAUCCAGUGACGUCUGGAGCUUUGGGAUACUCAUGUGGGAAGUGAUGAGUUAUGGAGAACGGCCUUACUGGGACAUGAGUGAACAGGAGGUACUAAAUGCAAUAGAGCAGGAGUUCCGGCUGCCCCCACCUCCAGGCUGUCCUCCUGGAUUACAUCUACUUAUGCUGGACACUUGGCAGAAGGACCGUGCCCGGCGGCCUCAUUUUGACCAGCUGGUGGCUGCAUUUGACAAGAUGAUCCGCAAGCCGGAUACCCUGCAGGCUGGCGGAGACCCAGGGGAAAGGCCUUCCCAGGCCCUUCUGACCCCUGUGGCCCUGGACUUCCCUUGUCUGGACUCACCCCAGGCCUGGCUUUCGGCCAUUGGACUGGAGUGCUACCAGGACAACUUCUCCAAGUUUGGCCUCUGUACCUUCAGUGAUGUGGCUCAGCUCAGCCUGGAAGACCUGCCUGCCCUGGGCAUCACCCUGGCUGGCCACCAGAAGAAGCUG